This 24-nucleotide non-coding RNA is filed under the name Xenopus tropicalis (tropical clawed frog). RNAcentral also lists the same sequence under 3 other names. Lineage: Eukaryota; Metazoa; Chordata; Amphibia; Anura; Pipidae. The record is from RNAcentral.
UGGUUGAUCCUGCCAGUAGCAUAU